GAUCCUGGCUCAGGAUAAACGCUGGCGGCGCACAUAAGACAUGCAAGUCGAACGGACUUAAUCGAAAUAUUUAUAUUUUGAAGCGGUUAGUGGCGGACUGGUGAGUAACGCGUAAGGAACCUGCCUAUUAGAGGGGAAUAACAGUGAGAAAUCAUUGCUAAUACCGCAUAUGCCAUAGAUAUCACAUGAUAACAGUGGGAAAGGAGCAAUCCGCUAAUAGAUGGCCUUGCG
This 231-nucleotide ribosomal RNA is filed under the name uncultured bacterium. RNAcentral's name for it is "partial 16S ribosomal RNA". It matches the Rfam family "Bacterial small subunit ribosomal RNA", at positions 15 to 235 of the family's 1533-position model. The record is from RNAcentral.